Molecule: ribosomal RNA, 385 nt
Filed under: Ptyodactylus puiseuxi (Israeli fan-fingered gecko)
Lineage: Eukaryota; Metazoa; Chordata; Lepidosauria; Squamata; Phyllodactylidae
Also listed under: 1 other name
Description: partial 12S ribosomal RNA
Rfam family: Bacterial small subunit ribosomal RNA
Source: RNAcentral
UUAAUCGUUAACACACGCAGCCACCAUAAACCGCUGCGCGCCAGAGUAGUACAAGCGAAAAGCUAGAAACUCAAAGGACUUGGCGGUGUCCCACACCAACCUAGAGGAGCCUGUCCUAUAAUCGAUACUCCACGUUAAACCUAACCUGCUUUCGCCAGUCAGCCUAUAUACCGCCGUCGCCAGCCUGCCUAAUAAUAGAUAUAAAGCAAGCAAAAUAGGCCACGCCUAACACGUCAGGUCAAGGUGUAGCUAAUAAGUAGGUCACAGAUGGGCUACAUUUUCUCAACACAAGAAAACCACCGCACGCAUUAUGAAAAUAAGCCGAAAGGCGGAUUUAGCAGUAAGUCUGGCAAGAUAAGCCUACCUGAAACCUGCCCUGGGACAC